GGACAAAUAGCUCCAAUGGUAGAGCGCCGGUUUGAAGAACCGGGUGUGCAGGUUCGAAUCCUGCUUUGUCCA
Molecule: transfer RNA, 72 nt
Filed under: Sphingobacteriales bacterium 40-81
Lineage: Bacteria; Pseudomonadati; Bacteroidota; Sphingobacteriia; Sphingobacteriales
Also listed under: 1 other name
Description: tRNA-Phe
Rfam family: tRNA
About the family: Transfer RNA (tRNA) molecules are approximately 80 nucleotides in length. Their secondary structure includes four short double-helical elements and three loops (D, anti-codon, and T loops).
Source: RNAcentral